CCUGUCCCAGCUCGGCCCCGCUGGAGAAUGGAGCCUUUGCUCACACCAGAUGUGUUGGACGGCAUCACAUGCCCUACUGUCUGGGGCUCACUUGCUGUUUCCGAAAAGGGGGAAAGGAUUUGGGGCGGACAAUCCCGGCGCCUCCUGCUGGCUUUAGGGAGAGACAGGGCUGCGCUGGAGGAGAGCCCUGGGGAGCAGGCAGAGUUUUGUGACAAGGUUGGGACGCCUUGAGCAAGCCUUUCUGCUGGGCUAACUGGAGGAUGUGUAGCCGUCUCUGAUCAGACAAGAAGCCCUAUUUGCUGAAGUCUUUCUUCAACACUUUGACUCAGCCGUCCUUCCCUUCCCCAAACCUGCCGAAGACCCGGAAAUUCUCCCAGACUCUCCCAUUGCUGGCGACUGCAUCCACCAUCAGAGCCUCUGCUGGGGCGAGUAAGAGAGAUCGUUGCCAUUUCCCGGAACCCUUGACCCUCUCUGCCUUCCCAAAAGACCCAGCGCUUGUCCAAAAGCUUCCUCCUGCCUCCAGGCCUCCGGUUCCUCUGUUUCAGGGACGGACGCCUGACUCGAUGGCUAGCUCCCGAAUCCCGGACAAGGCCCGUAGGACAGGGGCCGCCCUCUCCCCCUGUCCUUGUCAAUCUGCAGUCUCUUCUUCCUCUCCCUCCCUCCCCCAUUCGCUAUGGGAGCCUGUCAGUCUUCCCCUUCCAAGACUACCCCCCUUGGGUGUGUCUUGCUAAUCUCCAUGCUCUCGGCCUCCGUUCAGAAGUCCGUCGUAAGAGGCUUAUCUUUUACUGUAAUACCGUCUGGCCUCAGUACAAAUUAGACAAUGGUUCCCAAUGGCCUGAAAAUGGCACUUUGCAUUUCAACGUACUUAAGGGCUUAGACAACUUUUGCCACUGCAAUGGGAAAUGCUCUGAGAUUCCUUAUGUUCAGGCUUUCUUCACUCUUUCGUAGCUGUCCUUCGAUCUGCCGGUCCUGCUCUACUUUCCAAAUCCUCCUGGCUGGCUCCUAACCUGACUCUCUUCCUGUCACUCUGCCCACAGCACCGGCUGACAAACCUGCUCCUGCCACAUUCCCACAGUCCCAGCUAACGACUCCUCUUCCACUUACCUGGAUGAUUUUCCUCCGCCUUAACCACACCAUGAUCCCCCCACCAGAGCACUGUAUUCCUCCACCAUACAUCCAGCUCCAGCCCUCUGCUUUCCCCCCCACCUCCCUUCUCUCGGCUACCCUUAUGCCACGUACUUGGGAGACUGAAGUGGGAGGAUCACUUGAGC
Sapajus apella (tufted capuchin) is the source of this 1271-nucleotide long non-coding RNA. RefSeq lists it as uncharacterized. The transcript has 3 exons. Lineage: Eukaryota; Metazoa; Chordata; Mammalia; Primates; Cebidae. The record is from RefSeq and is a predicted model, not a curated record.